RNAcentral lists this ribosomal RNA (497 nucleotides) under uncultured bacterium. RNAcentral describes it as "partial 16S ribosomal RNA". It matches the Rfam family "Bacterial small subunit ribosomal RNA", at positions 28 to 507 of the family's 1533-position model. The record is from RNAcentral.
GAUGAACGCUGGCGGCGUGCCUAAUACAUGCAAGUCGAGCGAACAGACGAGGAGCUUGCUCCUCUGACGUUAGCGGCGGACGGGUGAGUAACACGUGGAUAACCUACCUAUAAGACUGGGAUAACUUCGGGAAACCGGAGCUAAUACCGGAUAAUAUAUUGAACCGCAUGGUUCAAUAGUGAAAGACGGUUUUGCUGGCACUUAUAGAUGGAUCCGCGCCGCAUUAGCUAGUUGGUAAGGUAACGGCUUACCAAGGCAACGAUGCGUAGCCGACCUGAGAGGGUGAUCGGCCACACUGGAACUGAGACACGGUCCAGACUCCUACGAGAGGCAGCAGUAGGGAAUCUUCCGCAAUGGGCGAAAGCCUGACGGAGCAACGCCGCGUGAGUGAUGAAGGUCUUCGGAUCGUAAAACUCUGUUAUUAGGGAAGAACAAAUGUGUAAGUAACUAUGCACGUCUUGACGGUACCUAAUCAGAAAGCCACGGCUAACUACGUG